CAGCCGCCGCGGUAAUACGAAGGGUGCAAGCGUUAAUCGGAAUUACUGGGCGUAAAGCGUGCGUAGGCGGUUCGUUAAGUCUGUUGUGAAAUCCCCGGGCUCAACCUGGGAAUGGCAAUGGAUACUGGCAAGCUAGAGUGUGUCAGAGGAUGGUGGAAUUCCCGGUGUAGCGGUGAAAUGCGUAGAGAUCGGGAGGAACAUCAGUGGCGAAGGCGGCCAUCUGGGACAACACUGACGCUGAGGCACGAAAGCGUGGGGAGCAAACAGGAUUAGAUACCCCUGUAGUCCCUGUCUCUUAUAA
RNAcentral lists this ribosomal RNA (301 nucleotides) under uncultured bacterium. RNAcentral describes it as "partial 16S ribosomal RNA". It matches the Rfam family "Bacterial small subunit ribosomal RNA", at positions 509 to 809 of the family's 1533-position model. The record is from RNAcentral.